RNAcentral lists this long non-coding RNA (482 nucleotides) under Helianthus annuus (common sunflower). Its description in RNAcentral is "sRNA HanXRQr2_Chr11g0488391". Lineage: Eukaryota; Viridiplantae; Streptophyta; Magnoliopsida; Asterales; Asteraceae. The record is from RNAcentral.
GCUAGGCUAGCUUUGCACAGGAAUGUCAAGGUUGCAUUUUCAAAACUAUGGAACGGUUGGAAUAGGAGAACCCAAUGGAGAUUCGAGUACUUAGUGGCGUUCAUUUUCUAGAAGUCUUAGCUUAUUUGCUUCCGCUGUGCAAUGAAGAUACCGGUCCAGUCACACCAAUGCUCUGAUAUUUCGGGGUGUGACAGCAAAUUCCACCAAGUCAAAGCUUCAUCGACAAACAAUCCAGUAACAAAAGUGACUUGCUGGUCCGUGGUGCACUUGCUCAUGUGGAUCAUGGAAUCAGUCUUCUCCGUCCAGCGCACGAAAGCCACUGCACCUCCAGUGCCGUCGUAAUUCAUUGGCUUGCAGUCGAGAAACUGCUUGAAGGUGCAGCCUGGAAUUCAUCCAACCAAUUCACACGUGAGCAAUCAAUGAAACAAUGAAACAAAGAUCGUUCAUAAAUUUCAUCAAGUUAUAACAAACUAGCUUAUGGU